CCUACGGGAGGCUGCAGUGGGGAAUAUUGGACAAUGGGGGCAACCCUGAUCCAGCCAUGCCGCGUGUGUGAAGAAGGCCCUCGGGUUGUAAAGCACUUUCAGUGAGGAAGAACGCCUGGUGGUUAAUACCCAUCAGGAAAGACAUCACUCACAGAAGAAGCACCGGCUAACUCCAUGCCAGCAGCCGCGGUAAUACGGAGGGUGCGAGCGUUAAUCGGAAUUACUGGGCGUAAAGCGCGCGUAGGUGGCUUGAUAAGCCGGUUGUGAAAGCCCCGGGCUCAACCUGGGAACGGCAUCCGGAACUGUCAAGCUAGAGUGCAGGAGAGGAAGGUAGAAUUCCCGGUGUAGCGGUGAAAUGCGUAGAGAUCGGGAGGAAUACCAGUGGCGAAGGCGGCCUUCUGGACUGACACUGACACUGAGGUGCGAAAGCGUGGGUAGCAAACAGGAUUAGAUACCCGUGUAGUC
RNAcentral lists this ribosomal RNA (465 nucleotides) under Vreelandella stevensii. RNAcentral's name for it is "partial 16S ribosomal RNA". It matches the Rfam family "Bacterial small subunit ribosomal RNA", at positions 338 to 795 of the family's 1533-position model. Lineage: Bacteria; Pseudomonadati; Pseudomonadota; Gammaproteobacteria; Oceanospirillales; Halomonadaceae. The record is from RNAcentral.